CAGCAUUUUGAGAAAAAGAAGAAAAAACGAAAAAUAAUGAAAAAAUGCCAAACCCUCAUUCGAUAUAGCAGUUUCUUUUAAGGCAGCAGGCUAUAAGAUAGUUGGUGUAUGUUCUGAAGCCCCCGGCAGCGUAGUUAAUAAACAUGUUUACCUUAUUUGCUUUGUUUUAUGGAAUCUUCAUGAUCAUCAGUACUGCAACUUUCAUAGUAGACAGCCGUUCAGAGUGUUACGAAAGCUGCUCCACUGUUUUUGACAUUUGUCAUAAUUCAAUUAACGAAUCCCAUGAGUGGGAUUCCCAAAAAGCGGAAUUUAUGGUUUGCAUAAAAGAUCGAACUGUUUGCCAUGAAAACUGUAAAAGAGUAUUAAAAUUAAAAAGAAUACUGAGAGCUUUAAAAAAAUAUAACAUAUAUAUCAAUCAUGGUCAAAGUAUAUAGCAUUCAUUACACGCUGCAAAGAUUAGAUAAUACUGAGUGCACAUCAAACUGCGAAGGAACUAAAAUUUACCGUAAAAAAGUGAAAUCUUUGGAACUUAUGUUGAGCCACAUAGUGCAAAAAAUUAGCCAGGAAAUGGUAAAUCUCAUAAGAAGUAUUGAAAAACUGCAAAAUAGUUUUUUCAUUUUUCUUUAGUAUCUCUUAAAAUUUCUAUUUUAGUAU
This is a long non-coding RNA of Hydra vulgaris (swiftwater hydra), 654 nucleotides long. RefSeq lists it as uncharacterized. Lineage: Eukaryota; Metazoa; Cnidaria; Hydrozoa; Anthoathecata; Hydridae. The record is from RefSeq and is a predicted model, not a curated record.